This 1405-nucleotide long non-coding RNA is filed under the name Mytilus galloprovincialis (Mediterranean mussel). Lineage: Eukaryota; Metazoa; Mollusca; Bivalvia; Mytilida; Mytilidae. The record is from RNAcentral.
AUAACGUUAAGGUCAGAAAAAUUACAAAUCAUUAUGCUAAAAAAUGUCAAUUCCUGUCAAACGUCGUAAGGUUAACAGUACACUGCUACAGUGGGUUACAAAACCAAAUACAGAAGCUGACAAUGAAUGACUUUAUUGUUGGUCCUACAUGUUUUGCAAUAUCACCUGUUAGUGAUAAGAAAUCUUCACAUAGGCAGUCUGGUAUAGACCCAUCAUGGAAAAAACAACAUUUCUACAGACUUACCCAUGAAGUACUCUUUAAAACCUUUUCUCACUGAAACUAAAUGUACCUAGUGUUUUUAUCUCAAUAAAAAAAUAAAAUAAAAAAUGUAAAAAUUAAAAGUCCAAUAUAAAUUGUAAAGUUUAUAUAAAAGUAGAGAAAAAUUGAAAUUAAUUUUAAAAAGCAACCUCAAUCAGGCAUGCGCCAGAAAGUAAUCUUCAAAAUGUUGAUGGUUUUUUGUAACUGAAGAAGAAGACUUUUCCUUGGGUUUUAUACACAGAUAAUAUGAGGAUUAUAUGAAUUUACAAUGGACAAAAAAAGACUUUUCUUCUAUCAUGUCUAUAUCCAUACAAUUUAAGUAAAUAACAUUUGCAAACAAAGGGGUAACUUCCAUGAGCAUGAUGAGGACAUCAUUACAAGAGAAAACAUCAAUAGCAUAAUAUAAGAAAAACACAUAACAAAUCAAUUACAAACCAACCGUGCGCCGCUACAAAGUUAUAGAGAAUUGUCGAAAAUCACGUGCUUACCACAGCGCUGUCCAAAAAUCCUGGGGAGAACACUGAAUCUUGUGGCAGACAAAACAGGCCAAGCAAAAUUGUAUUUGUAAGAAUUUCAAAAUGACAAGCACCUUACGUCUUAAGGGAUUUUCCUGCAAAAAAAACCCAUCUAAAAUAAAAGGAGAACUUUGGGAAAAAACGAUGUUCAUGCAUAUUUUUUAGGAAUAUAGACAUGAUAGAGUAGGUUAAUAAAAAACGACUUACAUUUAUUUUUCAUAAAAUUUUUUUUUCAUUCAAUACAAAAAGAUCAAUAUUCUGACCAUUAUACGAAAUAUAAUUUAUUUGGUAUACAUGUACAUAAAAAAAAAAUAUCUAAUAAUUCAACAGGAAAUUGAAUACAAAUUUGGCAUGAACAUGUAGGUUGGGAUCGACCUGGGAAGCGAACAUGAGAGGUGCGAACAUGUACUGUAAAAAAAUAUGGAAGACUAUCAACAACGGACCUGAUACCAUUUGGAUGCCUCUUGUAGUUUAAUUUGGAAUCUGGAGCCAUACCCCCAAAAUCACACUCACUUAUAUUCUUGUCUGACCUCUUUCUAUUUUCCACCCCACUUGUGCACCUGGAUACCCAGUUACAUUUGCAUUUGUUGUCAAGCCUGUGACUUUUGACCCACAAGGGAGACAUAUCAAU